CUGACGUGAGUAACGACAAAACGGGUGAAAAACCCGUUCGCCGAAAGACCAAGGGUUCCAGUCCAACGUUAAUCGGGGCUGGGUGAGUCGACCCCUAAGGCGAGGCCGAAAGGCGUAGUCGAUGGGAAAUUGGUUAAUAUUCCAAUACUUCUGUGUAAUGCGAUGAGAGGACGGAGAAGGUUAAGUCAGCCUGGCGUUGGUUGUCCAGGUGGAAGGAUGUAGGUAUGUAUCUUAGGCAAAUCCGGGGUACUCUAUACUGAGAUCCGAUAGCAAGCUGUACUUGUACAGCGAAGUGGCUGAUACCAUGCUUCCAGGAAAAGUCUCUAAGCUUCAGUUACACAGGAAUCGUACCCGAAACCGACACAGGUGGUCAGGUCGAGUAGACCAAGGCGCUUGAGAGAACUCUGCUGAAGGAACUAGGCAAAAUGGUACCGUAACUUCGGGAGAAGGUACGCUGUUGUUGGUGAUGGAACUUGCUUCCUGAGCUGAUGACAGCCGCAGAAACCAGGCCGCUGCAACUGUUUAUUAAAAACAUAGCACUCUGCAAACACGAAAGUGGACGUAUAGGGUGUGAUGCCUGCCCGGUGCUGGAAGGUUAAUUGAUGGGGUUAGCGUAAGCGAAGCUCUUGAUCGAAGCCCCAGUAAACGGCGGCCGUAACUAUAACGGUCCUAAGGUAGCGAAAUUCCUUGUCGGGUAAGUUCCGACCUGCACGAAUGGCAUAAUGAUGGCGGCGCUGUCUCCAGCAGAGGCUCAGUGAAAUCGAAAUCGCUGUGAAGAUGCAGUGUACCCGCGGCUAGACGGAAAGACCCCGUGAACCUUUACUGCAGCUUGACACUGAACUUUGACCUUACUUGUGUAGGAUAGGUGGGAGGCUUUGAAGUUGGAACGCUAGUUCCAAUGGAGCCGUCCUUGAAAUACCACCCUGGUAAUGUUGAGGUUCUAACUCUGUCCCGUUAUCCGGGACGAGGACCGUGUCUGGUGGGUAGUUUGACUGGGGCGGUCUCCUCCUAAAGAGUAACGGAGGAGUACGAAGGUGCGCUCAGCGUGGUCGGAAAUCACGCGUAGAGUAUAAAGGCAAAAGCGCGCUUAACUGCGAGACCCACAAGUCGAGCAGGUACGAAAGUAGGUCUUAGUGAUCCGGUGGUUCUGUAUGGAAGGGCCAUCGCUCAACGGAUAAAAGGUACUCUGGGGAUAACAGGCUGAUACCGCCCAAGAGUUCAUAUCGACGGCGGUGUUUGGCACCUCGAUGUCGGCUCAUCUCAUCCUGGGGCUGAAGCAGGUCCCAAGGGUAUGGCUGUUCGCCAUUUAAAGAGGUACGCGAGCUGGGUUUAGAACGUCGUGAGACAGUUCGGUCCCUAUCUACCGUGGGCGCUGGAAAUUUGAGAGGAUCUGCUCCUAGUACGAGAGGACCAGAGUGGACGAACCUCUGGUGUACCGGUUGUGACGCCAGUCGCAUCGCCGGGUAGCUAUGUUCGGAAGGGAUAACCGCUGAAAGCAUCUAAGCGGGAAGCCUACCUCAAGAUAAGAUUUCCCUAGGAAUUUAUUCCUCUAAAGAGCCGUUCGAGACUAGGACGUUGAUAGGUUGGAUGUGGAAGCAUAGUGAUAUGUGAAGCUGACCAAUACUAAUUGCUCGUGAGGCUUGACUAU
Molecule: ribosomal RNA, 1648 nt
Filed under: Acinetobacter sp. 1566109
Lineage: Bacteria; Pseudomonadati; Pseudomonadota; Gammaproteobacteria; Moraxellales; Moraxellaceae
Description: bacterial LSU rRNA
Rfam family: Bacterial large subunit ribosomal RNA
Source: RNAcentral